Molecule: long non-coding RNA, 1458 nt
Organism: Patella vulgata (common limpet)
Lineage: Eukaryota; Metazoa; Mollusca; Gastropoda; Patellidae
Exons: 7
Source: RefSeq, a predicted model, not a curated record
UCUGUCGGUGAAUUACAAUUUCUAAUGCAAUAAUAGAUUAUCCAGUGCGAGUUAUCUGCCGAUGCAAACACAACAGACAGUCGAUAGUAAUAUUUCAACACAAUUUGACUUGAAAGAGAGCAACCAUGGCAUCAAAACAAGAAGAAGAAGAAAAAUUAAAAGUAUGGAAGGAAGUAUUCGAUCUUUUUGAUACCAAUAAAGACAACCAUAUCUGCACCACGGAACUAGGGAAAGUUUUACGAGGAUUAGAUUUAAACCCAACAGAGAAAGAACUAAAUGAAAUACGAGAUCAGUUGGAUACAAAUAAAAAUAAAGUUAUUGAAUUUGAUGAAUUUGUUGGAUUGAUGAAGAAAAAACAAAGAACUAGAGAAGAUGAACAGAAUGAUAUGUUGCGGGCUUUCAAGAUAGUGGAUCGCGACAGUAAUAAUUUUAUUGAUAAAUACGAGUUAAAACGACUGAUGACUAAACUGGGAGAAGCUUUAACAGAAGAACAAGUGGAUUUAAUGAUUAAAGUUGGAGAUUUAAACCGAGAUGGUAAAAUAGAUUAUAAUGAGUUUGUGAAGUUUUUGUUACAGCCAUGUCUGUAGUGGAAGUCGUCUGCUCAAUUACGUCAUAGAUUAAUUUUAGUAUAGUUGUUAUUUUAUAAGAGCAUAUUAUGUCUCCAAUGGAGAGUCUUCAUAAAUCCCUGUACUUCUGUAGUUCUGCUCACCUCCACAUUAAAACAUUACUUUAAUUAAGAAACAAAUGUCUGCUUUUAUUAAUUUAAAAAGCUUAAAAUACUCACAUCAGUUUAAAAUUGCACUUUGUUCCCCAACACCAAGGAUUUUGAACUUUGACCUCAUCAUGACCAUUCAUUUCUUGCCACAGUUCUAGUUCACUUGAUGAUAAAGGUAACAAAUAAUUGCAUAAAUACAUUUUUAUGUCGCAUUAUAUUUCGUCGUCACAGUUUUUAAAUUUUGCCCUUGUAUUCGCAUUAAUUUAAUGCAUUCUGUUUGCGGGGGGGGGGGGGGGUAUUUCACAAUCUUUUAAAUUAUCUCGUUCACCUUUGGAGCACCCAUAUAGUAUAUCUUUAAAAUGUUUGUCAUCACAAAAUGCGUGAUAUAAAUAUUAAUUGACUAUCUCGAUUUUUCUAUGUUGCAAUUUGUUGCUAAAUCAAAUCAGAAAUUUUAUUAUUCUUAUUCAAUAUUUUGAAAAAUAAUAAUAGAAAUACGCACAAAAUAUUUGUAUUACACAAUUCGGCGUGUAAUUGUAUUUCUGACAAGGCCAAUUAUGUCAUAUUAUGAUGAUUUUCAAAUUUGAUUUAAAGAUGCAUUAAAUUUAAGAAAUCAGGGUUAUACGUUUUCUGUCAUAGUUCUUUUGUAGUUGCCUCCCCUAGUUGAUAUUAUAUAUAAAUUAUUUGUAUAUAAUACACUGUCAUGUUUAAAAUUAUUAUUGUAAUAAAAUACACGAUAAAAUAUU